AUAUCAUUGUAGGUACCAGACUAGAUAUAAAUCAAGACAAUCCCGAGAGAGUCAAGGUCAUCAUAUAUGCAGAAGAUCUGUUUGCAGAUCUCAUCAGAAAUAUAUUUCCUGAUAACAUCAUAGGUGCUUCGUUUAGACAGACAUUAACAUCUUACAAAAAAGUUGAAGCACAACUGAACAUCAGUGAGGAAUUUGCAAAUAAUACCAUUUAUCAGAGACACAUUGGUUAUUCUGAUGGAAGCAACAUACUUGGUGAGUCAUAACAAAUAUCUAAUAUAUAUGGUACACAUCACCAUAGCCUAGGUGGUAAGCUUCUGGCAUACUGAGUGAACUAUACUGAUUCAAUUUUUGAUUGUGACUCUUACACUGCAAUUGAUCUUGCAGGACACAGUAAGGCUGUCUGUCAAAUUUGUAAUUUUAAAAAUAAUCAUUCCUUAUAUCAGUACAAUGUCAUUUGUUUCCAAAGUGAGUAGGUAUUGUUAAUUACUGAUACUUAAUGUUAAACACUAGAAUACAAGUAGACUACUCAUUGAAUCAGUUUCAUAAAGUUUUAAAAUUUUCGUAUUAAAUGUAUAAUGUAAGGAGAAGAGGAUUUGUAGUGUUUUAAGAAAAGCACUUCUCUUGUUUAACAUUCUAAAAAAAAAGGUCUUACUUAAAAUAUUGGAAUUCUUUUCUAUCACAGAACACUAAUAGAUAUUUUUAAAAUUUUGUCAUUACUACCAAUUUUAUUGGC
This is an RNA transcript of Octopus sinensis (East Asian common octopus), 733 nucleotides long. RefSeq lists it as uncharacterized. Lineage: Eukaryota; Metazoa; Mollusca; Cephalopoda; Octopoda; Octopodidae. The record is from RefSeq and is a predicted model, not a curated record. The transcript has 3 exons.